This 246-nucleotide ribosomal RNA is filed under the name uncultured bacterium. Its description in RNAcentral is "partial 16S ribosomal RNA". It matches the Rfam family "Bacterial small subunit ribosomal RNA", at positions 57 to 305 of the family's 1533-position model. The record is from RNAcentral.
GCAAGUCGAGCGGUAACAGAGAGGUGCUUGCACCUUUGCUGACGAGCGGCGGACGGGUGAGUAAUGCCUGGGAAUAUGCCUUAGUGUGGGGGAUAACUAUUGGAAACGACUGCUAAUACCGCAUAAUGUCUACGGACCAAAGGGGGCUUCGGCUCUCGCCUUUAGAUUGGCCCAAGUGGGAUUAGCUAGUUGGUGAGGUAAUGGCUCACCAAGGCAACGAUCCCUAGCUGGUUUGAGAGGAUGAUC